GGCCCUGUCACAAUCCACCAAUUGUUCUGAAGGCAGAGCGCCUCUGAAGCAGCCCCUGCUGCAGAGGGGCCUGCGAAGAGUCUGAGUCCUCUCCUCCGUGAUUUUCCUGAAAUAUCCCAUUUCUAGGAAGGAACAGCCCACAGGAAACCACACGCCCGCUACUGAAAUGAUGUGCAACAACAGUAGCUAGCUCACUGGAGGCAGAAUAUGCCUGGGACUCUCAGGGGCAUCUCUGUCCUUGUCCCUCCUCUGAGAGCAGACAGAGCUUUACUCGGCAAAAGGCCUUCUCCUCGGUUCCAGUGCAGCUUUUCUUCUCCACUUGGAUUUUCUGCCCAAGACAGAGUGUCUAUCCAGCAGGACAUAAUGAGUUGAUGCCUCUGGUUCCUUCCAGCAGCCAGCAGUCUCAGCUACUCCUUUUCUUGCCUGCGGAAACCAGGCUGGGCAAGGGAAUACCAAGAGGCACCCAAGGGAUCACGUGGGAGUCAAACAUAUUCCUCCAUACCCUCUGGUUUAAAAGCAGCCCUAUCUCCUCCAGACGACCUGGGUCAAUUACCCCCACCAAGAUGGGGGCUCCUUUCCUUACCAACUGGAUGCUGGACACAAAGAGGAUAAGGUGUUCUGGUGGCAGCCACAGCUUAUAAC
This 642-nucleotide long non-coding RNA is filed under the name Equus asinus (donkey). RNAcentral describes it as "lncRNA (ENSEASG00005032747.1)". Lineage: Eukaryota; Metazoa; Chordata; Mammalia; Perissodactyla; Equidae. The record is from RNAcentral.